GACGAACGCUGGCGGCGUGCCUAAUACAUGCAAGUUGAGCGCUGAAGGUUGGUACUUGUACCAACUGGAUGAGCAGCGAACGGGUGAGUAACGCGUGGGGAAUCUGCCUUCGAGCGGGGGACAACAUUUGGAAACGAAUGCUAAUACCGCAUAAAAACUUUAAACACAAGUUUUAAGUUUGAAAGAUGCAAUUGCAUCACUCAAAGAUGAUCCCGCGUUGUAUUAGCUAGUUGGUGAGGUAAAGGCUCACCAAGGCGAUGAUACAUAGCCGACCUGAGAGGGUGAUCGGCCACAUUGGGACUGAGACACGGCCCAAACGCCUACGGGAGGCAGCAGUAGGGAAUCUUCGGCAAUGGACGAAAGUCUGACCGAGCAACGCCGCGUGAGUGAAGAAGGUUUUCGGAUCGUAAAACUCUGUUGGUAGAGAAGAACGUUGGUGAGAGUGGAAAGCUCAUCAAGUGACGGUAACUACCCAGAAAGGGACGGCUAACUACGUG
This 497-nucleotide ribosomal RNA is filed under the name uncultured bacterium. RNAcentral's name for it is "partial 16S ribosomal RNA". It matches the Rfam family "Bacterial small subunit ribosomal RNA", at positions 28 to 507 of the family's 1533-position model. The record is from RNAcentral.